UUCAAGCAGGUGGCCAUACGUAAGUUUCGAGAUAGAUUACAUAUCUAUAGCAGUCCGUCAUCAAGCAUUUCAAUUUUCAAUCACCAUCGGAUUGAAAGUCCUACAGAGAUCACUGGAUGCGAAGGGACGUAUGGGAGGCCAUUUGCGAUCAAUGGAGCUUAGUUGAAAAUUUCAUCAGCAGAUCGUAGGUUGAUACCAUGGCUCUAAAGAUGUUCAGUCCCAGUUGCCAAAAGAUAGCAUUAUAUACAGAGGGCACUCUAACAAUCAGAAAAUCAAUUUGGAUAGUAGACUGUUUGGGCUCCUAACCAAUUAUGACUGGCA
Molecule: long non-coding RNA, 321 nt
Filed under: Elaeis guineensis (African oil palm)
Lineage: Eukaryota; Viridiplantae; Streptophyta; Magnoliopsida; Arecales; Arecaceae
Description: long non-coding RNA (EGUI_LNC007169)
Source: RNAcentral